Molecule: small RNA, 304 nt
Filed under: Pongo abelii (Sumatran orangutan)
Lineage: Eukaryota; Metazoa; Chordata; Mammalia; Primates; Hominidae
Description: unitary pseudogene
Source: RNAcentral
CUGUAUCUGAAUUAAGAACUGAACUCUAGCUGAAUCUGGACUUUGAAGAUUUUCUUAGCCUUAAUUAUUCAGCUAUAAGAAAACCUACUCCUCAACUAUCUGUUUUCCCCUCACAAGUAUUAAUUAACUCACCAUAGGAAUAUCUUGCUUAGAAUCCAAGUGGCACAAUAACUGUCACUGAAAUAUGCACCAUCUCUAUGGAGACUGUGAGGUUCCUGGUACUCCAACGCCUGAUUGUGUACAUGAAUCAUCCACUAAUGAAUAAUGAGAAGAUUGUUCCUCUUUUAGUAAUACAAGAAUGUAA